Vigna radiata var. radiata (mung bean) is the source of this 117-nucleotide non-coding RNA. The record is from Rfam. NCBI's taxonomy places the organism in Eukaryota, Viridiplantae, Streptophyta, Magnoliopsida, Fabales, Fabaceae.
AGCCAUGAGAUAAGCACAUAGCGAACUAUUCUUUCGCCUUUUACUAAAGAAUACCGUGUGCUUGUCUCUCUAAGUGGCAUACGCCUAUUUUUGAAAGAGCCUUUCAAUAGAGGGCUC